UAUAGUGAUCUCGUCGCUGGUGCCUGUUCGGGCCCAGAGGGAACGUGGUGAGACAAGAGAUCAAUGCCACGGCUGCCCCCGCAACUGUAAGCGGAGAGCUCACGUCCACAAGCCACUGGGAGAUCCCGGGAAGGCGGACGUCGAGCGCAUGAUCCGCAAGCCAGGAGACCUGCCGGCGGCGAGUGCAGAUC
This 191-nucleotide non-coding RNA is filed under the name Rhizobium sp. Lineage: Bacteria; Pseudomonadati; Pseudomonadota; Alphaproteobacteria; Hyphomicrobiales; Rhizobiaceae. The record is from RNAcentral. RNAcentral also lists the same sequence under 1 other name.